This 234-nucleotide unclassified non-coding RNA is filed under the name Hevea brasiliensis (rubber tree). The record is from RNAcentral. Lineage: Eukaryota; Viridiplantae; Streptophyta; Magnoliopsida; Malpighiales; Euphorbiaceae.
GGAUCUGAAAAGGCUUCUAGCAGUCAUGGAGUGUGGUCACAGGAAGGGUAGCAGUGGCUUUCAAGAGAAAUGUGUGCAUAGUCAGUCCUUCAUUAGGUCUUAACCAGACGAGCAGCAAAGGCUCCAUCAAUUGAAUGUUUUACUGGGAAAGAGAAAUAAAAACCACGCUCCGUCACAAAAUCAGGUGGCACAUAUCCAUCAACAGGAUCUAUUUGAAAUUCGGGAUGCCUGAGA